This 431-nucleotide ribosomal RNA is filed under the name uncultured Anaerolineaceae bacterium. RNAcentral's name for it is "bacterial SSU rRNA". It matches the Rfam family "Bacterial small subunit ribosomal RNA", at positions 936 to 1382 of the family's 1533-position model. Lineage: Bacteria; Bacillati; Chloroflexota; Anaerolineae; Anaerolineales; Anaerolineaceae. The record is from RNAcentral.
AGCGUGUGGUUUAAUUCGUUGACUCACGAAGAACCUUACCUGGGUUUGACAUAUAGGUUGUAGGGAACUGAAAGGGACCGACCCUUCGGGGAGCCUAUACAGGUGUUGCAUGGCUGUCGUCAGCUCGUGUCGUGAGAUGUUCGGUUAAGUCCGCUAACGAGCGCAACCCUCGUCGUAUGUUAUAUGUGUCAUACGAGACUGCCGGUAAAAGCCGGAGGAAGGUGAGGAUGAUGUCAAGUCAGCAUGACCUUUAUAUCCAGGGCUACACACACGCUACAAUGGUCUGUACAAUGGGUAGCCAAGCCGCGAGGCGGAGCCAAUCCUGAAAGCAGGCCUCAGUUCAGAUUGCAGUCUGCAACUCGACUGCAUGAAGCCGGAGUUGCUAGUAACCGCAGGUCAGCAAUACUGCGGUGAAUACGUUCCCGGGUCUU